This 207-nucleotide long non-coding RNA is filed under the name Capsicum annuum. RNAcentral describes it as "long non-coding RNA (CANN_LNC015864)". Lineage: Eukaryota; Viridiplantae; Streptophyta; Magnoliopsida; Solanales; Solanaceae. The record is from RNAcentral.
CCUGGUACUUGUUAACAUGGAGAAUUUUUUGACAGAGAAAGUGUUUGCACUUAAAAUUCCUUGUUGCAUGAUUAGUAACUAGGUGUGUGAAAUCUUCUUUAUUGUGAGGAGGCAUGUGAACAAGUUGAGGUAGGUGAUUUUGUCAUCUUCCACACAAUGAGAUAAAGCGAAGUAUAACAUGGUUGUAGUCAACAAGAGAGUCAUUUC